RNAcentral lists this ribosomal RNA (253 nucleotides) under uncultured bacterium. RNAcentral describes it as "partial 16S ribosomal RNA". It matches the Rfam family "Bacterial small subunit ribosomal RNA", at positions 524 to 776 of the family's 1533-position model. The record is from RNAcentral.
UACAGAGGUCUCAAGCGUUGUUCGGAAUCACUGGGCGUAAAGCGUGCGUAGGCUGUUUCGUAAGUCGUGUGUGAAAGGCGCGGGCUCAACCCGCGGACGGCACAUGCUACUGCGAGACUAGAGUAAUGGAGGGGGAACCGGAAUUCUCGGUGUAGCAGUGAAAUGCGUAGAUAUCGAGAGGAACACUCGUGGCGAAGGCGGGUUCCUGGACAUUAACUGACGCUGAGGCACGAAGGCCAGGGGAGCGAAAGGG